This 683-nucleotide long non-coding RNA is filed under the name Nicotiana tabacum (common tobacco). RNAcentral's name for it is "long non-coding RNA (NTAB_LNC005962)". The record is from RNAcentral. Lineage: Eukaryota; Viridiplantae; Streptophyta; Magnoliopsida; Solanales; Solanaceae.
UCAUUGUCCAUUCAAUACUGGAAGAAAAAGAAGCAAGCCUACAACAUUAAAGAUCUUGUGCAACAUUCUUCAGGAGUGAGCAAAGGCUCAAAAGAAAGGUACUAAAGAAAUAUUUUGGAGUAUAAGUUUAUCGAAAAAAACCCAAAAAACCCAAAAAAUCCGAGAAAAAUCGAGAUUGGAAAAUCCGACUUUUGUUAGUUUGGUUUGAUCUAUAGAUUUAAAACCCGAUAUAUUUGGUUUGAUUUAGUUUUGAUAAAAACCGAAUCAACCCGGUUCAUGUACACCCCUAGUACUAAUAGUAAAGGAGAAGAAGAAAUUAGGUUGUUUGAGAAAGUAAAUGUCAUUUAGCAGUCUGAUAGUAGGCUAUAACUAUGUAGUUUGGCCACUAUUUUCACUCUAAAUUGGCUGCACUUCACUGAUGUUUGAGCGCUAAAUGAUACUAAAUUGCUCUGAUUGAGUAUUUUUAUACUUUGUAGGAGCAAUUUCGGGCUACAAUGAGGUUAAGGAGUAUUUUGAGAUAAUAUGGAGCGUUGAAGGCCAAGUAAAGGCUUAUGGAGUAAAUUGGGAGUUUGUUCGAGGAUCGAAGGAGGUUAGCGCAUUUAAAAAAAGAAGAACAAAGAAGAGUGCAAAAAAUCUCCUAGGUGCGCGGCCGCGCACCGACCGUGCACUGGGCCGCGCAAGUC